RNAcentral lists this ribosomal RNA (843 nucleotides) under Psychrobacter sp. UA-AR0305. Its description in RNAcentral is "bacterial SSU rRNA". It matches the Rfam family "Bacterial small subunit ribosomal RNA", at positions 77 to 912 of the family's 1533-position model. Lineage: Bacteria; Pseudomonadati; Pseudomonadota; Gammaproteobacteria; Moraxellales; Moraxellaceae. The record is from RNAcentral.
AGCUUGCUGGUAGGUGUCGAGCGGCGGACGGGUGAGUAAUACUUAGGAAUCUACCUAGUAGUGGGGGAUAGCUCGGGGAAACUCGAAUUAAUACCGCAUACGACCUACGGGAGAAAGGGGGCAGUUUGCUGCUCUCGCUAUUAGAUGAGCCUAAGUCGGAUUAGCUAGAUGGUGGGGUAAAGGCCUACCAUGGCGACGAUCUGUAGCUGGUCUGAGAGGAUGAUCAGCCACACCGGGACUGAGACACGGCCCGGACUCCUACGGGAGGCAGCAGUGGGGAAUAUUGGACAAUGGGGGAAACCCUGAUCCAGCCAUGCCGCGUGUGUGAAGAAGGCCUUUUGGUUGUAAAGCACUUUAAGCAGUGAAGAAGACUCCACGGUUAAUACCCGUGGACGAUGACAUUAGCUGCAGAAUAAGCACCGGCUAACUCUGUGCCAGCAGCCGCGGUAAUACAGAGGGUGCAAGCGUUAAUCGGAAUUACUGGGCGUAAAGCGAGCGUAGGUGGCUUGAUAAGUCAGAUGUGAAAUCCCCGGGCUUAACCUGGGAACUGCAUCUGAAACUGUUAGGCUAGAGUAGGUGAGAGGAAGGUAGAAUUCCAGGUGUAGCGGUGAAAUGCGUAGAGAUCUGGAGGAAUACCGAUGGCGAAGGCAGCCUUCUGGCAUCAUACUGACACUGAGGCUCGAAAGCGUGGGUAGCAAAACAGGAUUAGAUACCCUGGUAGUCCCACGCCGUAAAACGAUGUCUACUAGUCGUUGGGUCCCUUGAGGACUUAGUGACGCAGCUAACGCAAUAAGUAGACCGCCUGGGGAGUACGGCCGCAAGGUUAAAAACUCAAAUGAAUUG